This 527-nucleotide long non-coding RNA is filed under the name Lupinus angustifolius (narrow-leaved blue lupine). RNAcentral's name for it is "long non-coding RNA (LANG_LNC003577)". Lineage: Eukaryota; Viridiplantae; Streptophyta; Magnoliopsida; Fabales; Fabaceae. The record is from RNAcentral.
AUGAUUUGUGUUCCUCUGAAUCAAAAUAUAGGCAAUCAGAUAAUGUAGGAGCCUAUUCUCUACGAACAGUGAUCCAAAAUAGUACAAAAAUAGUUUACUGACUUGUAUUCUUUUACUUUCGCUUUCAAUAGGUUCAAGAUUCUUCUACUACCACAACUUCUUUUGGUUCUCCAAAUUCUUGUAGUAAUGAUGAUAAUGAAAAUGGUAUAACAAUUUUUUAUUAAUAGAAUUUUAUGAUUGGGUUAUUUUAUUCCUUCAUUGAUGUCUUUUCUAUUCUUUGCAGGUGAAUGUUAGCAAAUAAUUUCUUUUUGAUGGAACAAACUAGAAAAUGAACCAUUUUGAUUUUUUUGGAAACACAAUUUGUACUUAUUUAGAUGGACAUCUAGAUUGUGUAAUUUUUAGGAUUAUAAGACUUUUUAUGUCUAUGAUAUAUGUAGUUAUGUUAUUUUUAGAUUGAUAUAUUUAACUUAUGUACUUCAUCGAUUGUAUGACUUUUAAUUUUAAAUAUAAAAUGACAUGUUUAGAUA